Molecule: long non-coding RNA, 1723 nt
Organism: Chinchilla lanigera (long-tailed chinchilla)
Lineage: Eukaryota; Metazoa; Chordata; Mammalia; Rodentia; Chinchillidae
Exons: 2
Source: RefSeq, a predicted model, not a curated record
CCGGCUGGGUCUCCAUCGUGGGCGUCGGUUUCGACCCAUCAUCUGAAUUGAGGGUUAAAAAGAAACGAAAAGAGACUACCAUUAUUGAGGCACAGAAGCCAUGCAGCAGGACAUCAGCUUUUACACAGGAGCUACACGGGGCCCUCAAGCCCUGGCCCAGGAGGCGAAGCUCAGCAUGGCCGCAAGGCCUGUGCACCCACCUGUCCUCAUCCCUGGUUUUGUCUAAGCCGCUGUGCCACACCUGGAACUGAACUCCGGCAAGGAACACUGAGCAAAUGAACAUAUGUCCUCCGGCCUGACCAGCUCUGAGCCCUCUCACCUGGACUUCAGAAGCUCUGUGAAGGUACCAAUGACAGUGCACGAGAAUUUCUGAUGGGCCAUGCUUCUCCUAGGUACCUGAAAAGGUGACAACUUCCAAGGAUCCAGAAAACUACUGCUCCCCUGGAAGGCUUCACACCCGCCCCCAUCACAGACGCUGAGAACCAUUCGGAUGUGAGCUCCAGAAGGCGAGGCCAGGACCCCUAUCGGUUCUACUCAUCGCUGGAUCCUCCGACACUAUAACAAGCACGGCACUUAGUAAGUCUGUAUAAAUAUUUAUUGAAUAGAAGACUCAAGUAUACAAUACAAACGGUUACUAAUACCACCACCGACUCCAAUAAAUCUACGACUAGAAGGCCUUUCCAGGCUCCUAAAUCCCAUUUCCUCUCCAACCCCCAGAGGUGGGAAUAUGGCGGGGAUUUAACUCUCAGUCUAGGUGCUCUUCACACAUAAACUGUCCUGCAAAGAUCUGGAACAAGGGCCAAGGACAAGGGCAGGGGACCGGAGAGGGGGCCAAGCUCGAGGAACAGUUAGCUGUGGGAAGGAGGGAGACAUCUCAUGUUCAUGGUGUGUGCCCGAGAGCUCAGGCCCACUCACACACACCCCUUCUAAAGUGAUCUCUGCAAAGCUGGUAUACAGACGUGCCGGGCUUCAUCACGGUGGCUCAGGGCACCAGAAAGUAGUGGAAUGGGCACACGGAGUCGAAGAGCAGCCUCCUGUGGAUCUGGGGCUGCCUGGGCACAGCUGUUUCAGCAGGUACGCAUCGAAGUGAACGCUCCCCCAUGAGGAAGAGCAGGAGGCCCACUCCAGGCAAAUCCAGCUCAGGCUGGUAGAUCAUCAGUACGGGCCCGGCCUCCUCUGCUCCCACCCCUGGGUGCUGGGUUAGGAGGAAAAAAAGAAAAGCAACUGGGGGAAGAGGUUAAAGUCCUGUGAGCAAGGGUGACGUUCCACAUGUGGAAUGUCCUUCAACAGCCAGCCUGGCACACAUCAGCCGGGAUCCGAGCACGGCGGCACACCUCCUUUAGGUGUGCAAGCUCCCCAUGAGAGCCAGGCUGGAGGACACACAGCCUCCUUCAUCUGGUGUGCCCACCAUCCACCGACCCUACCACCCGGCCCAAAGUACACGCCUCAGGGCCACUUCAGCCGCUGCUUGCGGGACAAGGUCUCCAAGCUGGCACAACCUGAGGACCAUGCUGGGAGAGAUUCUAAAAUUAGAGACGCAGACAGGGACCUCAGGGGAAUGGAUGUGACUCACUCCUUACUUGGAACACAUACCAUGGAGCAGCCAGUGGGUUUUUUGUUUUGUUUUUUUUUAAGUCUCUGCACAUUAAAAGAGGGUUGGAUUUGGGAAAUUCUGCCCUUCUCUGAAAGUGGCUUAAUAAAUAGAGACACCCAGACAGUAAAA